CAAAUCUGGGGGGGGUGGGGGUUAGUUGGGGGGAUUGAGGCAUUGGCUUUGGCCGAGGCUUUGAUUUCUCCCAACCCUCCUGCCAACCCAACAUAUGCACAGGGCCGCAAGGCUCUGAUGUUUACGCUUGUUUGUUUGACUGUAUUAUGAGACACAAAAUAUAGA
Molecule: unclassified non-coding RNA, 165 nt
Filed under: uncultured Rozellomycota
Lineage: Eukaryota; Fungi; Rozellomycota
Description: uncultured Cryptomycota sequence contains ITS1
Source: RNAcentral